Molecule: transfer RNA, 134 nt
Filed under: Microcaldota archaeon
Lineage: Archaea; Nanobdellati; Microcaldota
Description: tRNA-Met
Source: RNAcentral
GCCGGGGUAGCUCAGCUGGUUAGAGUGCUCGACUCAUAGGUGAGAAUCCGAUGAGUUAUGAGGCAGAAGCCGAUGAUAUCAACGCACUCAACUGAGAAAUCGAGAGGUCGGGGAUUCAAGUUCCCCCCUCGGCA